Molecule: ribosomal RNA, 253 nt
Filed under: uncultured bacterium
Lineage: Bacteria
Description: partial 16S ribosomal RNA
Rfam family: Bacterial small subunit ribosomal RNA
Source: RNAcentral
UACGUAGGGGGCGAGCGUUGUUCGGAAUUACUGGGCGUAAAGGGCGCGUAGGCGGCCUCUUAAGUCGAACGUGAAAUCCCCGGGCUCAACCCGGGAACUGCGUCCGAUACUGGGAGGCUUGAAUCCGGGAGAGGGAUGUGGAAUUCCAGGUGUAGCGGUGAAAUGCGUAGAUAUCUGGAGGAACACCGGUGGCGAAGGCGGCAUCCUGGACCGGUAUUGACGCUGAGGCGCGAAAGCUAGGGGAGCAAACGGG